CUCUAAUUUACAGACUUUUGCACGACGCACGAUCCAAAUAGUUUCUUGCACUCAUUUUUUUGUUUCCACUUCUAUUUCUAUCACAUGGAAGAUUGAAGUAUGCACCGAUACCGUUUAAUUUUGCAUCUC
Caenorhabditis elegans is the source of this 129-nucleotide non-coding RNA. The record is from Ensembl. Lineage: Eukaryota; Metazoa; Nematoda; Chromadorea; Rhabditida; Rhabditidae.